CGUUGACGUAGUUGCUUAUAAGACAGCAUCAACCACGACACCAUCAGUUCGUUAUCGCUUUGUCCUGCAAGUCCCUGUGAUGACUGUGUCUCAGCAAAUACUGUGAAUUGUGACAGAAGUGUCGGUAUUUGUAACUGUCGGGGUGGAUGGACUGGUAUUACGUGUAAUGAAAAUGUUCCCACAGAUUGCCCGGACUGUAUGCCGCCAUGUGACGAGAAAUGUGUGUCAAAUAAUACAUAUGCAUGUAAUAGGGAAUGUUUAUGCAAACCUGGCUGGACGGGCAUCACAUGCAAUGAAA
Molecule: long non-coding RNA, 298 nt
Organism: Saccoglossus kowalevskii
Lineage: Eukaryota; Metazoa; Hemichordata; Enteropneusta; Harrimaniidae
Source: RefSeq, a predicted model, not a curated record